Long non-coding RNA from Anas platyrhynchos (mallard), 1488 nucleotides. RefSeq lists it as uncharacterized. NCBI's taxonomy places the organism in Eukaryota, Metazoa, Chordata, Aves, Anseriformes, Anatidae. The record is from RefSeq and is a predicted model, not a curated record.
UGUGUUAUUUUGCUUUAGCCUGGGUUAGUUUUGCCUUGGUGGCUGCUGCUUCUAUUUUUAUUGCCCAUUAUUCUCUAUUCUGCUCCCAGCUGUACCUGCUGCAGGCCCUGUGCUCUCCCUAAGGUGGUUAUGGUGCACCUGCACAUGUGGAUUUGAUAAGGAGCUAUUGCAGUGAUAAAAAGUGUUGAUAGGUCAAAGCUGCAGUGGUAAAAUUAAUUGUUCAGAGACUUGGAGUCUCAAGGCACCCAUAAAAGCAGUGUAAUGCACAGUAUGGAGUACCACCUGUGUGUAGCAGCUGUCUCAACAACUUUGCUGACACAGAGAAAAAAAAAGUGAUGCUCAAGAGAUUUUAUUUGGGCUAAAGACAUGUUCUCUGGAGGCUUUGUUUUUCACUUAAUUGAAAACAUCUACAGUACUGCUGCCAAAGUAAGUGAUUAAGGGCCAGCCUUGCUGAGAGGGCCCCUUGCCUUGAAACCAUGAAGCCUUGCUGAUCAUUUGUCAACUUCUUAGACCUUAGUAUCAGGUUCUGCUUAUCAAAUAGUAGUGAACAGGAGGAUCAUUGAGGUGACCACUUUUGGGGCCUCAUCCAAGGAGUUGUCACUGGAUUUUUCUUCAGAAAUCUUCUUGGAACAAGAAAAUACCUUGUCUCUUCCAAAGGCAGCGUAGCUGCUGGAAGACAUCUCCUUGUGCUGGUGGAGCAUUACCUUCAUCAUAGGCCUCGUUUCUGCUUGUAGAGCAAUUCACCUGUGCUACUGUCUUGGUUAAGAAAGCUCUCCUGGAGAAGAGUGCAGACCGAGAGUGUAGCCUGUCCAGUCCAGCUUCCUGGAUCUCACAUGGCGUCACGUCCAAGUUGCAUGAUGUCCCAAGGGCAGCUGCCAUCUGCCACACAUCAGUCAUUACAGGCCAACAUUACCAACCCAGUCUCCACAGACAGUAUUAAAAAGGUCUCUUUGCCAGGUCCUAGCGCAUUUUUCUUUCUGAAUGUUUACAUAUGAGCAUGAGUCACAAAUUAUCGGUGUAAGGACAGCGUAUUUGUGUGCAUCAGAACUGUGGGAUUAGUGAAGUCCAUGCUUGUGGUUUUUAGAGAUGUUCAUCAUUAAUUUACACAGCGGUCUCCUGUUGUGGUUUGGUCAGGAUUUGCGUCAGCACAGGAAAACAUUUUCUGCUCCCAGGAACCAUUUCCAGUUCUGGCAUAUAAAUUGUAGGACUGUAGUCACUUCUGGAAUACUACUACUAACUGUGUAUUCUAGGAAUAGAGCCCUUUCAUAUCAGUAGGAAUUUUUUCUUCCAUAUGGGAAGAAAUAGAAAUCUGAACCUAAAUGCCUUCAGAACUGGUAGAGAAGGCUGUGAAGGAAUCUUGCUGUAUUGCUUUCAAAUUAAAUAUUGUAUUAAGCAACUGUUGCCUCCUAGGAUUCUUCUUAUGACCAGAUGGAAACAUUAACUGACAGCAUUAUACACUGUUUUGACACUACACUUGGUGUCUGCAGA